RNAcentral lists this ribosomal RNA (497 nucleotides) under uncultured bacterium. RNAcentral describes it as "partial 16S ribosomal RNA". It matches the Rfam family "Bacterial small subunit ribosomal RNA", at positions 28 to 507 of the family's 1533-position model. The record is from RNAcentral.
GAUGAACGCUGGCGGCGUGCCUAAUACAUGCAAGUCGAGCGAACAGAUGAGGAGCUUGCUCCUCUGACGUUAGCGGCGGACGGGUGAGUAACACGUGGAUAACCUACCUAUAAGACUGGGAUAACUUCGGGAAACCGGAGCUAAUACCGGAUAAUAUAUUGAACCGCAUGGUUCAAUAGUGAAAGACGGUUUUGCUGUCACUUAUAGAUGUAUCCGCGCCGCAUUAGCUAGUUGGUAAGGUAACGGCUUACCAAGGCAACGAUGCGUAGCCGACCUGAGAGAGUGAUCGGCCACACGGGAACGGAGACACGGUCCAGACUCCUACGGGAGGCAGCAGUAGGGAAUCUUCCGCAAUGGGCGAAAGCCUGACGGAGCAACGCCGCGUGAGUGAUGAAGGUCUUCGGAUCGUAAAACGCUGUUAUUAGGGAAGAACAAAUGUGUAAGUAACUAUGCACGUCUUGACGGUACCUAAUCAGAAAGCCACGGCUAACUACGUG